UCAAUAGCUGAUUGAGAGGAUGAUCAGCCACAUUGGGACUGAGACACGGCCCAAACUCUACGGGAGGCAGCAGUGGGGAAUCUUGCACAAUGGAGGAAACUCUGAUGCAGCGAUGCCGCGUGAGUGAAGAAGGCCUUUGGGUUGUAAAGCUCUUUCGUCGGGGAAGAAAAUGACUGUACCCGAAUAAGAAGGUCCGGCUAACUUCGUGCCAGCAGCCGCGGUAAUACGAAGGGACCUAGCGUAGUUCGGAAUUACUGGGCUUAAAGAGUUCGUAGGUGGUUGAAAAAGUUGGUGGUGAAAUCCCAGAGCUUAACUCUGGAACUGCCAUCAAAACUUUUCAGCUAGAGUAUGAUAGAGGAAAGCAGAAUUUCUAGUGUAGAGGUGAAAUUCGUAGAUAUUAGAAAGAAUACCAAUUGCGAAGGCAGCUUUCUGGAUCAUUACUGACACUGAGGAACGAAAGCAUGGGUAGCGAAGAGGAUUAGAUACCCUCGUAGUCCAUGCCGUAAACGAUGUGUGUUAGACGUUGGAAAUUUAUUUUCAGUGUCGCAGGGAAACCGAUAAACACACCGCCUGGGGAGUACGACCGCAAGGUUAAAACUCAAAUGAAUUGACGGGGACCCGCACAAGUAGUGGAGCAUGUGGUUUAAUUCGAAGAUACGCGCAGAACCUUACCAACACUUGACAUGUUCGUCGCGACUCUAAGAGAUUAGAGUUUUCGGUUCGGCCGGACGAAACACAGGUGCUGCAUGGCUGUCGUCAGCUCGUGUCGUGAGAUGUUGGGUUAAGUCCCGCAACGAGCGCAACCCUCACUUUUAGUUGCCAUCAUUAAGUUGGGCACU
This 839-nucleotide ribosomal RNA is filed under the name marine metagenome. Its description in RNAcentral is "bacterial SSU rRNA". It matches the Rfam family "Bacterial small subunit ribosomal RNA", at positions 280 to 1139 of the family's 1533-position model. The record is from RNAcentral.